Molecule: long non-coding RNA, 980 nt
Organism: Aphis gossypii (cotton aphid)
Lineage: Eukaryota; Metazoa; Arthropoda; Insecta; Hemiptera; Aphididae
Exons: 3
Source: RefSeq, a predicted model, not a curated record
AUGAUCUGUACACUGAAUACAGUCCGAUCUUUUAUAUUUGAGUAAACCUAAAUGAAGUAUUGUGUUGUACCAAUCAUAUUUUUAUUGGUGAAUAUUAUAAUCACAAGUUAUGUGUAGAGGGUAGAAGCUAAUCAAUCUAAUUGUGACGUAUUAAAAAAAAGGUGACGUGUUUAGUAGCUUGGUACUUUAGAAGAGACCAUUAAAAAAAUCGAAUAUAGUGAAAACUGCAAUUUGUUUAAAUUCAAUACGAGAACAAUCGAAAAUAUUAAAAAAAAAAGGGUUGAAGAGAAAUUUGAACCCGGAUUGAAAUAUGUAUGUUUAGUGAAGUCAAUAUAAACAUAGGUCUAAAGGGAUACGCCCAAACCAAAGUUUAUAUCUUUCGAAUUGUCCUGUGAUGAUAUAUGUGUGACCUAAUGAUACAGGAGAUAAGUUAGUAAUUACUUCUAUUGUUAAUUGUUACUGAACACAAUCAUUUACGCAGUAAGGCAAUCUUUGACCACUACCCAUACCAGAGAAGACUUGAAUCUGAUGCUAAAUCAAUAGCAUCAAAAUUAGUGGCAAUGAAAGUCAAUAAAAAUUUUUUUAAAAAUGAGUUGAUGACACAACAUAAUAAAAUUAUAACUUUAAAGGACAUACAUAACUUGACUUUAACAAAUUCUCCUAAGUUAGAUGCCUUAAAAUCUUGAGCUGAAAGUUUUAAAAACAAAUAAGGAGUUACUUUGGAAAUAUUGAAUAAUAAUAAUAAUAAUAAUAAUGAGUUAAAGGCCAUAUUCUAUCAAGAUGAUGAGAUGAAAAGAAUAUUUGCAUUAUGUCCUGAAAUGCUAUUUGUGGACACAACAUAUAAAGUGAAUGAUUUGACUCUACCACUUUAUGUAUUUUUAGGUUUGUACAAUUUCAGCAUUUAUGUUUUUUAACCUAUUUUAAGCAUAAAUAAAUGCUUAAAUGUUACCUACUUUAUGUUUUCAUUUGUUGAUAGUAAU